This 25-nucleotide non-coding RNA is filed under the name Mus musculus (house mouse). The record is from RNAcentral. Lineage: Eukaryota; Metazoa; Chordata; Mammalia; Rodentia; Muridae.
UAAGAUACUAAGGUGCUUAAGAAGU